Molecule: long non-coding RNA, 224 nt
Filed under: Elaeis guineensis (African oil palm)
Lineage: Eukaryota; Viridiplantae; Streptophyta; Magnoliopsida; Arecales; Arecaceae
Description: long non-coding RNA (EGUI_LNC032999)
Source: RNAcentral
AGGUGGAGGUUUCUUCACUUUCGGAGGCAAACGUCGAACGGCUCAGGGAGCAAAAUAGUAUCCCGGAGCAGUUCGAGUUCUUCGCCCCUGGGGCUGAGGGUCGGGUUAACAACCUGCCUCCGGGCCAGGUGGCCUUCUAUGUCGAGGACCUUGGGGUAGGUCUUCGCUUUUCGAUUUUGGAGUUCGUCCGAAAUGUUCUGGAUUAUUACGGGCUUUGUCCAGCU